Molecule: long non-coding RNA, 425 nt
Organism: Bubalus bubalis (water buffalo)
Lineage: Eukaryota; Metazoa; Chordata; Mammalia; Artiodactyla; Bovidae
Exons: 3
Source: RefSeq, a predicted model, not a curated record
GCGGCAGGGAUUAGAGGCUGGCAGAGCUUUCUCCCAGCCCCAGGAACCUAGAGGAAGACCAAUCAGCACAAUGUACCCUGAAGAAAUGGGGCUGAUCUUGGGCUUUGUGUGAUGGGAGCAGCAGGAAUCCCUGAGUCUGAGCAGCGCCAGGACUUGGCUCCCCUCCUCCCCUCUUUCUGCCCUUCUCUCCUCCACAAGCUCCCAGAGGACACAGACUGCUUCCCCAAAUCUACUGUGACACCGCCUUCCAGUUCCAUCACUACUAGAUUAAAGGAAAGCCAUGAUGGCUGAAGCACAGGACAAGGAGCUUGAGGCUCAGAACUUUCCUGAGACCUCACAGGACUCCCAAGGCCACUCUCAUAACCACUGAGCACUGCUGCCCAGUGGUCACGUAUGGAUGUGAGAGUUGGACUAUAAAGAUAUUU